This 253-nucleotide ribosomal RNA is filed under the name uncultured bacterium. RNAcentral describes it as "partial 16S ribosomal RNA". It matches the Rfam family "Bacterial small subunit ribosomal RNA", at positions 524 to 776 of the family's 1533-position model. The record is from RNAcentral.
UACGUAGGUGGCAAGCGUUGUCCGGAUUUACUGGGUGUAAAGGGCGUGCAGCCGGGCUGACAAGUCAGAUGUGAAAUCCCGCGGCUCAACCGCGGAACUGCAUUUGAAACUGUUAGUCUUGAGUACCGGAGAGGUCAUCGGAAUUCCUUGUGUAGCGGUGAAAUGCGUAGAUAUAAGGAAGAACACCAGUGGCGAAGGCGGAUGACUGGACGGCAACUGACGGUGAGGCGCGAAAGCGUGGGGAGCAAACGGG